Molecule: non-coding RNA, 21 nt
Filed under: Caenorhabditis elegans
Lineage: Eukaryota; Metazoa; Nematoda; Chromadorea; Rhabditida; Rhabditidae
Source: RNAcentral
UAUUCGAAUGUACAUUUCAUC